UACGGGGGGAGCAAGCGUUGUUCGGAUUUACUGGGCGUAAAGGGCGCGUAGGCGGCCUCCGCAGGUCAGUUGUGAAAUCUCCGAGCUUAACUCGGAAAGGUCAACUGAUACUGCGGGGCUAGAGUGCGGAAGGGGCAACUGGAAUUCUUGGUGUAGCGGUGAAAUGCGUAGAUAUCAAGAGGAACACCAGCGGCGAAGGCGGGUUGCUGGGCCGACACUGACGCUGAGGCGCGAAAGCUAGGGGAGCGAACGGG
Molecule: ribosomal RNA, 254 nt
Filed under: uncultured bacterium
Lineage: Bacteria
Description: partial 16S ribosomal RNA
Rfam family: Bacterial small subunit ribosomal RNA
Source: RNAcentral